This 177-nucleotide unclassified non-coding RNA is filed under the name rhizosphere metagenome. Its description in RNAcentral is "partial ribosomal RNA internal transcribed spacer region". The record is from RNAcentral.
GAAUGUGCGGCGACGGCGCAAGCCCGAGCCAGCCAAUCCACCCUUGUGCAAUGUACCGUACCCUGGCGGGGCCUGCUCCGCCAAAGGGCUUUCGAGCCCGACCAACACUUUAAUCUCUGUCUGAACUUUACGAACCAAAUGAUCUAAACAACUUUUGACAACGGAUCUCUUGGCUCU